RNAcentral lists this long non-coding RNA (1443 nucleotides) under Anser brachyrhynchus (Pink-footed goose). RNAcentral describes it as "lncRNA (ENSABRG00000013227.1)". The record is from RNAcentral. Lineage: Eukaryota; Metazoa; Chordata; Aves; Anseriformes; Anatidae.
UGAGUGCCCAAGAGGAGGGUGUGCCAAAAAGAUCUCGCUGGCAGCGGAGCAGCUGGCCUCUGCUGCUAAUUCAGAUUGGCUGGCCCAGGAGGAUCCUAAUUACAGCACAACUGCUGUCUCCAUAAUCACUGCGGCAGGAGCCGUGCGGGCCAGAAGGCACUGAAAGGGACCUGGAUGCGGCAGCAGGAGGUACGGGGGCUGCUGCUUUCCGUCCUAGCCACUGAGUAGCACAGAGUCUACCAGAUGUCAGGGAGGAAGAAAUGGGUCAUCCUCAGAGCAGGCUUGUGCAAAUAAUGUCAUUGGCUGCCUGUGUGAGCGAUGGGAUUGCACAGAUAGGCUCAAGGAUAUCCUACUGACGGGGUUUGUGGGGAAAGCACUAGAAAUGUGGUGAGCCUACUCAGGUGUCAGGGGCUGAUUUGCUGAGCAGCAGCUAAUUGUGUGGCUGAUGGGAGCAACAAAAGCUGUCCAGGCAACUCCUGGUAAAGUGCUGUGGCUGUGUCAGACGUUUCCUGUGUGCCAGUAAGGAUGGCCACUUGCCCACCUGCACCUGCUGCUGACACGAAAUCAAAAGAAUGGAGGAAAGGACUGUGAAAUGUGUAGCUGUAUCUUUGACCUGGAGACCCAGCCUUUCCCCAAAGCCUGGUGUUUUGUGGCCCCCAGGUAUGAAUAAAGGAAGCAGGACACAGCUUCUUUCCUCCUUGUUACGAGAUUUGAGGUACCACCUCUACCAACAUACACUGAUGUGGCUCCCAGCAGAGCUGGUCUGGACCCAAGUCUCUCUGAAAUGCAAGCAGUAAACAGGAAUAAGAGAGCAUGGGGUGCGUCUGCAGUGACAAAUGUGAGAUGCUCACAGCUGGCAAGUUGUGUACCACAGUCCAGAAAAAGCUGUUGCCAUUGCUGGAGGACACAUCUGGGAGAACAGACCACGCAGGCUUUAUGCUCUGACCUGCAUUUGAGGUGCUUGUUAACGUCCUGUCUCCUUGUGACACCAGCUCAGGGAAUCCUACCAGCCUGCUGCCUCCAGGAAAGGGCUGGAGGAGAGGGUUGUGUGCUCUGCGUCAGGCUGCUCCUGCUGCACUCCAUCUGCCUUGCUUAGCUGGAGCGUUCAUUGUCAAAAGCCCUCCUGAUAGAAAACAUUCUGGCUGUAAUGAAGUAUCCACAGAGAUUAAUACAGGAUUUGUUACCUAAACAUCUCCCAAAACCACAGUACUGACUUCUGUGUCCUAAUUGUCCCGCAUCUGUUUCCAGCCUCAGAAUAUUACCUUUUAGGUAAAGGAGCUGAUGUAACCAAGCUGUCUCUUGGCAUCCAUUGCUUACUAAUGCGGCUUUUGCAUUGUUCAUGAGCUAAGGAAAUAACAUUGUGCUUUAAAGGUCCGAGGAAGCUCGGGACAGUCUGUGUUCUCUAUGACUGUAUACCUUCAGAGAGCAUUUGCAAUCCUUGUA